Caenorhabditis brenneri is the source of this 71-nucleotide non-coding RNA. NCBI's taxonomy places the organism in Eukaryota, Metazoa, Nematoda, Chromadorea, Rhabditida, Rhabditidae. The record is from the annotation of a GenBank genome assembly.
GCGCGCGUGGCGCAGUCGGUAGCGCUGCCGCCUGCCAAUCUGACAACGCGGGUUCGACCCCCGACACCUCA